CCUACGGGGGGCAGCAGUGGGGAAUAUUGGACAAUGGGCGAAAGCCUGAUCCAGCCAUGCCGCGUGUGUGAAGAAGGCCUUCGGGUUGUAAAGCACUUUCAGUGGGGAAGAAAGCCUUGGGGCUAAUACCCUCGAGGAAGGACAUCACCCACAGAAGAAGCACCGGCUACUCCGUGCCAGCAGCCGCGGUAAUACGGAGGGUGCGAGCGUUAAUCGGAAUUACUGGGCGUAAAGCGCGCGUAGGCGGUCUGAUAAGCCGGUUGUGAAAGCCCCGGGCUCAACCUGGGAACGGCAUCCGGAACUGUCAGGCUAGAGUGCAGGAGAGGAAGGUAGAAUUCCCGGUGUAGCGGUGAAAUGCGUAGAGAUCGGGAGGAAUACCAGUGGCGAAGGCGGCCUUCUGGACUGACACUGACGCUGAGGUGCGAAAGCGUGGGUAGCAAACAGGAUUAGAUACCCUUGUAGUC
This 464-nucleotide ribosomal RNA is filed under the name Vreelandella stevensii. RNAcentral describes it as "partial 16S ribosomal RNA". It matches the Rfam family "Bacterial small subunit ribosomal RNA", at positions 338 to 795 of the family's 1533-position model. Lineage: Bacteria; Pseudomonadati; Pseudomonadota; Gammaproteobacteria; Oceanospirillales; Halomonadaceae. The record is from RNAcentral.